GGAGAUGAAGUGAUCUUUGUCAUAAGUUGUCUUCAUUAAUAUGUAUGUUUGCUCUUUGACACUUGCUUAAAUGUACUUUUGGUCUGUAGGAGGGAUAGCAGCCACUGACUUUCAUCUCAGUUGACGUAGUCCUCUUCUUAAUUUAAUGUUUGUGAUCUCUUUACAUAAAUCCAGCGUGAAUGCAAGUUAUUUUCUUCCCCUCUGUUUUAAAACUUCCAGUGCAAGCAUUGUUACUUAUUCAAAAGGAUUUAUGCAGUCAACUUCAGAAGACCCUGACAUCUGUUCCUGCGUGGCAAGAAAUAGGGAGUAGUAAAUGAAUUGGUGAUAGCGCCUCUAAUGAGAGUCAACUGUGAAGCAAACUAUUCAUUAAAGGCUGACUUUGAAACUUUACCUUCUACAGUCGCUGCAGCUGUACCAAGGUGAGAAUGAUUUGGCAAGUUACUGCUGCCAGUUGGAAGAAACAAAUUGAAUCUGAAUAAGGUUCAGAUGUGAAUUAGAUAAAGUUUCUGUCUGAAAAACUGUUGGAUUUUAUUUUAUUUUUUUAAUUCCCAUAUGCAAGUAGUUGUUCAAACAUGCUAAAAAAGAAAUUCACAUCAUCUUUUUUGCAGCACAAUUGCACUUUAUUUAGUUUUUUAACAAGGGCAACACGGAGAGAAUUCAUAAAAAGCAGAAACAUGACAUUGUUAUGUAAUAGGAUGAAAGACAGCAAGAAUUCCUUUGCACUCUUUUUAGUCUUAUUAUAGUAGAAGAGAUGGGAGCUUUAAAAACAAAAGAGGCACGGAGCUUUAGGUCUGUGAUGUUUCUGUUCUUGACCCUGUUCUUUACCAAACACUACAGGUACUGUUAGGAGUCAUAAACUGGGAGAUGGAUUGCUUCUAUUAAUGCCAGUGUGGCAGUGGAUUUACUAUGAUUAUCUUAUUCCCAAUAAGGUGACAUGAUUCAUGUAUAUAGCAUAACACCAAGACAGCUUGAUCUUGGCUGCAACAGAGGGCUGAUGUCUAGAUAUUUUGUUGAGCUCUAUAUUACUGCUGGGAUUCAAAAUGGUCUAACUGGAGGC
This is a long non-coding RNA of Gallus gallus (chicken), 1057 nucleotides long. NCBI's taxonomy places the organism in Eukaryota, Metazoa, Chordata, Aves, Galliformes, Phasianidae. The record is from Ensembl.